Molecule: long non-coding RNA, 1216 nt
Filed under: Pan troglodytes (chimpanzee)
Lineage: Eukaryota; Metazoa; Chordata; Mammalia; Primates; Hominidae
Description: long non-coding RNA NONPTRT018558
Source: RNAcentral
UACUGAGUGUCAGGCUUGUCAGAGGGCAGGUGGGAGAGACCAGGACCAGUAGGGUGUGAGGAUAGUUCAGGAAUUCAUCCGACGAAUGGUUAAGGAGCACCCACCACACGCGAGGCGCUGUUCCUGGUGCUGGGGUGCAGCAGUGAGUUCCACUGCCCUCGUGGCGCUUGCGUGCUAGCGGGGAGAGACAGGGCCAGAGGGUGGGAGAAUUGUUCAUGCACCUGCCAGCGAGAAGCACUGGGAACAGCCAGCUGAGGGCUGAGGGUCCUGCAGGGCUUGGGGAAAGGGUGGUGCUGUCUUGACAUAAGACGGCAGGAGGGGCGGAAGCCAGCGCGGCAUGUGCGGAGAGGAAGAGCAUGCGCACAGGGCCCCAGGUGGGCUGUGCCUGGCAGCUUGGAGGCACAAGAAGGAGGCUGGUGUGGCUGGAGAGCAGGGCAGGGCAAGGAGUGAGGUUGGGAGGGGACGGGCCAGAUCAGGCCAGGCCAUGUGGGCCCCAGAAGGACGUGGGCUUUGACUCCGAGGAAGGCCGAGUUCUGCUCUUGGCUGUAACGACACCCCUGGCCCACUGUGCUGGGAACAGGGUGCCCGGGGAAGAGGCAGGGAGAACGGUGUGGGGCUCUUGCAGUGAGUGGUCCAGGUGAAAGUUUGGAGAGACAGUGCAGGAGGCAGCGCUGGCCAGAUCUGGAUUUAUAGAGUUGGCUGGACUCGCUGAGAGGAAGAGAGGGGUCAGGGAGGACUUGAGGAUGGGGGUUAAGGGCAGUGGUGGAACAGGCUUGCCUAGGCAUGCAGUUGGCAUUUAUAUGGUGGUUCUGGGGUUACUGAGUGCUUCCCCACAGACUCUCUGCUUACUUCUUGCAACAAACCCUCUAGGGUUAGGUGGAGGGGCAGGUCUGGCAUCGGCCCCAGGCUUUCUGGCUCCAAGUUACUCAAAAAAUGCCCUGGGCACCCUGGCAGAUGUGGCUGGAUAGUCUGCAGUGUGCACGGCGCCAGGUUCCCCAUGCAUGAAAUGGAACAAGGUCUUCCACCCCCAGGGCUGCUGGCAGGGUGAUAGCAGAUGAUGGCACGAAGGUCCUUUAGGACAUGGCCAGAUGGGAGCGAAAUGACGAAGCUGGGCCAUGAGCUGAUGCUGUGUGCGCCAGAUGACCAGGAGCUCCUCAAGGUAAGAGGGCCUCUGUCUGCUCUGCAGACGGCACGCACGCUUUCUGCCCUGGGCAGG